RNAcentral lists this ribosomal RNA (512 nucleotides) under uncultured bacterium. Its description in RNAcentral is "bacterial SSU rRNA". It matches the Rfam family "Bacterial small subunit ribosomal RNA", at positions 15 to 518 of the family's 1533-position model. The record is from RNAcentral.
GAUUAUGGCUCAGGAUGAACGCUAGCUACAGGCUUAACACAUGCAAGUCGAGGGGCAGCAUUGGAGUAGCAAUACUCAGAUGGCGACCGGCGCACGGGUGAGUAACACGUAUCCAACCUGCCGCUUACUCGGGGAUAGCCUUUCGAAAGAAAGAUUAAUACCCGAUGGUAUAAAGAGUUCGCAUGUUCUCUUUAUUAAAGAAUUUCGGUAAGCGAUGGGGAUGCGUUCCAUUAGAUAGUUGGCGGGGUAACGGCCCACCAAGUCUACGAUGGAUAGGGGUUCUGAGAGGAAGGUCCCCCACAUUGGAACUGAGACACGGUCCAAACUCCUACGGGAGGCAGCAGUGAGGAAUAUUGGUCAAUGGACGAGAGUCUGAACCAGCCAAGUAGCGUGAAGGAUGAACCUGCCCUAUGGGUUGUAAACUUCUUUUAUAAGGGAAUAAAGUGCAUCACGUGUGAUGUUUUGUAUGUACUCUGCGAAUAAGGAUCGGCUAACUCCGUGCCAGCAGCGGC